GGUCCCGUGGUGUAGCGGUUAACAUGCCUGCCUGUCACGCAGGAGAUCGCGGGUUCGAUUCCCGUCGGG
RNAcentral lists this transfer RNA (69 nucleotides) under Mammaliicoccus sciuri. Its description in RNAcentral is "tRNA-Asp". It matches the Rfam family "tRNA". From Rfam's summary of the family: Transfer RNA (tRNA) molecules are approximately 80 nucleotides in length. Their secondary structure includes four short double-helical elements and three loops (D, anti-codon, and T loops). Further hydrogen bonds mediate the characteristic L-shaped molecular structure. tRNAs have two regions of fundamental functional importance: the anti-codon, which is responsible for specific mRNA codon recognition, and the 3' end, to which the tRNAs corresponding amino acid is attached (by aminoacyl-tRNA synthetases). tRNAs cope with the degeneracy of the genetic code in two manners: having more than one tRNA (with a specific anti-codon) for a particular amino acid; and 'wobble' base-pairing, i.e. permitting non-standard base-pairing at the 3rd anti-codon position. The record is from RNAcentral. Lineage: Bacteria; Bacillati; Bacillota; Bacilli; Caryophanales; Staphylococcaceae.